Molecule: ribosomal RNA, 301 nt
Filed under: uncultured bacterium
Lineage: Bacteria
Description: partial 16S ribosomal RNA
Rfam family: Bacterial small subunit ribosomal RNA
Source: RNAcentral
CAGUCGCCGCGGGAAUACAGAGGGUGCAAGCGUUAAUCGGAUUUACUGGGCGUAAAGGGCGCGUAGGUGGUUAUUUAAGUGAGAUGCGAAAGCCCCGGGCUUAACCUGGGAACUGCAUCUUAUACUGGGUAACUGGAGUGCAGUAGAGGGUAGUGGAAUUUCCGGUGUAGCGGUGAAAUGCGUAGAUAUCGGAAGGAACACCAGUGGCGAAGGCGGCUACCUGGACUGAGACUGACGCUGAGGUGCGAAAGCGUGGGGAGCAAACAGGAUUAGAUACCCGUGUAGUCCCUGUCUCUUAUAC